RNAcentral lists this ribosomal RNA (253 nucleotides) under uncultured bacterium. RNAcentral describes it as "partial 16S ribosomal RNA". It matches the Rfam family "Bacterial small subunit ribosomal RNA", at positions 524 to 776 of the family's 1533-position model. The record is from RNAcentral.
GACGUAGGGCGCGAGCGUUGUCCGGAAUUAUUGGGCGUAAAGGGCUCGUAGGCGGUCUGUUGCGUCGGGAGUGAAAACUUACAGCUUAACUGUGAGCGUGCUUCCGAUACGGGCAGACUUGAGGUAUUCAGGGGAGAACGGAAUUCCUGGUGUAGCGGUGAAAUGCGCAGAUAUCAGGAGGAACACCGGUGGCGAAGGCGGUUCUCUGGGAAUAUCCUGACGCUGAGGAGCGAAAGUGUGGGGAGCGAACAGG